UCCCAGCCAAACAUUCAACUACCAGCCAGGGCAUUGCACUGCGGUUGAAAACACAGAGCUGACUGAGUGCAACCAUCUGGUUUUUGUUUGAACAAAAUCGGCCCAGGGGUUCAAGAGUUCCAGUCAAUAAAGGAGUUCCAAACCCCAGAAGAAUCAGAAAGUCGAUUUACAAAAUUGUGAAGUCAGCCAGAAAUCAGUGACGUAACCUUGCAUAACUCAAGGUUCUGGAUCCUGGGCCGCUUGGGAGUUAUAUAACAUGACAUAACAAUGGACCAUUUUCAAAAAUUUGUAUCCAUAAAAGAAUUGUGUUGAUUUCCUUCAUUUUUGAAACAUUUGUAUAAACCAGCCAACUCUUUCACCCUAUCAAUCUUGGGACUAUCUGCCAGUGAUGUCAAAUUAAUUGAUUAUUUUUAAAAUAUAACUUAAGACUUAACGAGAACAUGGCACACUCCCUCCCAAUAUACCAAAUAUGCACUUUUGUAAAAUGUUAUGAAUGCUUAAGUGUUUAAGAAGUAAAAGAAGGGUUAGCUAAUGAAAUAAACUAAUUCAAAGUACACUUAAUGUGAAAAUUUUGAAAUUAAUUAGCAUAUUAAUUAAGGUGUUAAUUAGCGUAAUGAAGAAAUAUUGACAAUUUUUCAUCUUGCUUCAUACAAAUUGCCCACAUUUGUGUAGAACUAGAAGGGAUUGAAAUACAACUUUAUGGAAGCCUUAGUAAAACUAAGUAAUUUUUGUCAAUGAAUUAGCAUAUUAAUUAGUUCUUAAUUAAGAAAUAAUCAAACAAAAUCA
Long non-coding RNA from Patiria miniata (bat star), 786 nucleotides. RefSeq lists it as uncharacterized. The record is from RefSeq and is a predicted model, not a curated record. The transcript has 2 exons. Lineage: Eukaryota; Metazoa; Echinodermata; Asteroidea; Valvatida; Asterinidae.